UGGGGAAUAUUGCACAAUGGAGGGAACUCUGAUGCAGCAACGCCGCGUGCGGGAUGACGGCCUUCGGGUUGUAAACCGCUUUCAGCCAUGACGAAGCUUUUGUGACGGUAGUGGUAGAAGAAGCACCGGCUAACUACGUGCCAGCAGCCGCGGUGAUACGUAGGGUGCGAGCGUUGUCCGGAAUUAUUGGGCGUAAAGAGCUUGUAGGCGGUUUGUCGCGUCGAUAGUGUAAACACGCAGCUUAACUGUGUGCCUGCUGUCGAUACGGGCUGACUAGAGGAGGGUAGGGGAGAAUGGAAUUCCCGGUGGAGCGGUGGAAUGCGCAGAUAUCGGGAGGAACACCAGUGGCGAAGACGGUUCUCUGGACCUUUCCUGACGCUGAGAAGCGAAAGCGUGGGUAGCAAACAGG
This 409-nucleotide ribosomal RNA is filed under the name Fusobacteriota bacterium. Its description in RNAcentral is "Fusobacteria bacterium partial 16S ribosomal RNA". It matches the Rfam family "Bacterial small subunit ribosomal RNA", at positions 355 to 776 of the family's 1533-position model. Lineage: Bacteria; Fusobacteriati; Fusobacteriota. The record is from RNAcentral.